UACAUAGGGUGCAAGCGUUGUUCGGAAUCAUUGGGCGUAAAGGGCUCGUAGGCGGUUUAGUAAGUCGACUGUGAAAUCCCUGGGCUCAACCCAGGAACUGCGGUUGAUACUACUGAACUAGAGUGCUAGAGGGGUUCGUGGAAUACUCGGUGUAGCGGUGAAAUGCGUAGAUAUCGAGUGGAAUAUCAGAGGCGAAGGCGACGAACUGGAUAGUAACUGACACUCAACUGCGAAAGCGUGGGUAGCAAACAGG
RNAcentral lists this ribosomal RNA (253 nucleotides) under uncultured bacterium. Its description in RNAcentral is "partial 16S ribosomal RNA". It matches the Rfam family "Bacterial small subunit ribosomal RNA", at positions 524 to 776 of the family's 1533-position model. The record is from RNAcentral.